CCUAGUCGAUCCUGCCAGUAGUCAUAUGCUUGUCUCAAAGAUUAAGCCAUGCAUGUGUAAGUAUGAACAAAUUCAGACUGUGAAACUGUGAAUGGCUCAUUAAAUCAAUUAUAGUUUGUUUGAUGGUAUCUACUACUCGGAUAACCUUAGUAAUUCUAGAGCUACUACGUGCAACAAACCCCGAAGUCUAGAAGGGAUGCAUUUAUUAGAUAAAAGUUCGAUGUGGGCUCUGCCCGUUGUUGCGAUGAUUCAUGAUAACUCGACGGAUCGCACGGCCAUCGUGUCGGUGAUGCAUCAUUCAAAUUUCUGCCCUAUCUAGUUUCAAUGAUAGGAUAGUAGCAUACCAUGGUGGUGACGGGUGACGGAUAAUUAGGGUUCGAUUCCAGAGAGGGAGCCUAAGAAACGGCUACCACAUCUAAGAAAAGCAGCAGGCGUGCAAAUUACCCAAUCUUGACACGGGGAGGUAGUGAUAAUAAAUAACAAUACCGGGCUCAAUGAGUCUGGUAAUUAGAAUGAGUACAAUCUAAAUCCAUUAACAAGGAUUCAUUAGAGGGAAAGUCUAGUGUCAGCAGUCGUGGUAAUUCCAUCUACAAUAGCGUAUAUUUAAGUUGUUGCAGUUAAAAAACUCGUAGUUGGACUUUGGGAUUGGCCGGCAGAUCCGCCUAUGGUGUGCACUGGUCGUCUCGUCCCUUCUGUCGGCGAUGCGCUCCUGGCCUUAACUGUCGGGUCGUGCCUUCGGCGCUGUUACUUUGAAGAAAUUAGAGUGCUCAAAGCAAGCCUACGCUCUGUAUACAUUAGCAUGAGAUAACAUUAUAGGAUUUUGGUCCUAUUAGGUUGGCCUUCGAGAUCGGAGUAAUAAUUAACAGGGACAGUCGGGGGCAUUCGUAUUUCAUGGUCAGAGGAGAAAUUAUUGGAUUUAUGAAAUACGAACAACUGCGAAAGCAUUUUCCAAGGAUGUUUUCAUUAAUCAAGAACGAAAGUUGGGGGCUCGAAGACGAUAAGAUACCGUCCUAGUCUCAACCAUAAUUGAUGCCGACCAGGGAUCAGCGGAUGUUGCUUUUAGGACCCUGCCGGCACCUUAUGAGAAAUCAAAGUUUUUGGGUUCCGGGGAGAGUAUGGUCGCAAGGCUAAAACUUAAAGGAAUUGACGGAAGGGAACCACCAGGAGUGGAGCCUGCGGCUUAAUUUAACUCAACACGGGGAAACUUACCAGGUCCAGACAUAGUAAGGAUUAACAGACUGAGAGCUCUUUCUUGAUUCUAUGGGUGGUGGUGCAUGGCCGUUCUUAGUUGGCAGAGCCAUUUGUCUGGUUAAUUCCGUUAACGAACGAGACCUAACUCUACUAACUAGCUAUGUGGAGGUAUCCCUUCGCGGCCAGCUUCUUAGAGGGACUACGGCCUUUUAGGCCGCGGAAGUUUGAGGCAAUAAUAGUUUUGUGAUGCGCUUAGAUGUUCUGGGCCACACGCGCGCUACACUGAUGUAUUUUAUGCGUUUAUAGCCUUAGCCGACAGGACCGAGUAAUCUUUGAAAUUUCAUCAUGAUGGGGAUAAAUCAUUGUAAUUGUUGGUCUUGAACGAGGAUUCCUAAUAAGCGCGAGUCAUCAGCUCUCGUUGACUACGUCCCUACCCUUCGUACACACCGCCCGUUGCUCCUACCAAUUGAAUGAUCUGGUGAAAUGUUUGGAUCACGACGACGAUGGUAGUUCUCUGCCCGCGACGUCGCAAGAAUUCCAUUGAACCUUAUCAUUUAGAGAAAGGAGAAGUCGUAACAAGGUUUUCGUAGGUAAACUUAUGGAAG
This 1796-nucleotide ribosomal RNA is filed under the name Capsicum baccatum. Its description in RNAcentral is "bacterial SSU rRNA". It matches the Rfam family "Eukaryotic small subunit ribosomal RNA". The record is from RNAcentral. Lineage: Eukaryota; Viridiplantae; Streptophyta; Magnoliopsida; Solanales; Solanaceae.